Molecule: ribosomal RNA, 485 nt
Filed under: uncultured bacterium
Lineage: Bacteria
Description: partial 16S ribosomal RNA
Rfam family: Bacterial small subunit ribosomal RNA
Source: RNAcentral
UGGGGAAUAUUGCACAAUGGGCGCAAGCCUGAUGCAGCAACGCCGCGUGAGGGAUGACGGCCUUCGGGUUGUAAACCUCUUUUAGCAGGGAAGAAGCGAAAGUGACGGUACCUGCAGAAAAAGCACCGGCUAACUACGUGCCAGCAGCCGCGGUAAUACGUAGGGUGCAAGCGUUGUCCGGAAUUAUUGGGCGUAAAGAGCUCGUAGGCGGUCUGUCGCGUCUGCUGUGAAAUCCCCGAGGCUCAACCUCGGGCCUGCAGUGGGUACGGGCAGACUAGAGCGCGGUAGGGGAGAAUGGAACUCCUGGUGUAGCGGUGGAAUGCGCAGAUAUCAGGAAGAACACCGAUGGCGAAGGCAGUUCUCUGGGCCGUAACUGACGCUGAGGAGCGAAACGCGUGGGGAGCGAACAGGAUUAGAUACCCUGGUAGUCCACGCCGUAAACGUUGGGCGCUAGAUGUGGGGCACCAUUCCACGGUUUCCGUGUC